Molecule: long non-coding RNA, 96 nt
Organism: Rhagoletis zephyria (snowberry fruit fly)
Lineage: Eukaryota; Metazoa; Arthropoda; Insecta; Diptera; Tephritidae
Source: RefSeq, a predicted model, not a curated record
UGAAAAAAUUAGUAAUUUCGGUAGUUUUUCGCCUUAAUAAACGAUUUAAAGCUAAAACUGUUCAAAUACUGCACUGAUUUAUUUGUUAAAGAACUU